RNAcentral lists this ribosomal RNA (468 nucleotides) under uncultured bacterium. Its description in RNAcentral is "partial 16S ribosomal RNA". It matches the Rfam family "Bacterial small subunit ribosomal RNA", at positions 28 to 507 of the family's 1533-position model. The record is from RNAcentral.
GACGAACGCUGGCGGCGUGCUUAACACAUGCAAGUCGAACGGAAAGGCCCUGCUUUUGUUGGGUGCUCGAGUGGCGAACGGGUGAGUAACACGUGAGUAACCUGUCCUUGACUUUGGGAUAACUUCAGGAAACUGGGGCUAAUACCGGAUAUGAGCUCCUGCUGCAUGGUGGGGGUUGGAAAGUUUCGGCGGUUGGGGAUGGACUCGCGGCUUAUCAGCUUGUUUGUGGGGUAGUGGCUUACCAAGGCUUUGACGGGUAGCCGGCCUGAGAGGGUGACCGGCGACAUUGGGACUGAGAUACGGACCAGACUCCUACGGGAGGCAGCAGUGGGGAAUAUUGCAGAAUGAGCGGAAGCCAGAUGCAGCAACGCCGCGUGCGGGAUGAUGGCCUUCGGGUUGUAAACCGCUUUCGACUGUGACGAAGCGUGAGUGACGGUAAUGGGUAAAGAAGCACCGGCUAACUACGUG